Molecule: ribosomal RNA, 464 nt
Filed under: uncultured bacterium
Lineage: Bacteria
Description: bacterial SSU rRNA
Rfam family: Bacterial small subunit ribosomal RNA
Source: RNAcentral
GGGCCCGCACAAGCGGCGGAGCAUGUUGCUUAAUUCGACGCAACGCGAAGAACCUUACCAAGGCUUGACAUGCAGGGAAAAGCCGUGGAGACACGGUGUCCGUAAGGGUCCUGCACAGGUGGUGCAUGGCUGUCGUCAGCUCGUGUCGUGAGAUGUUGGGUUAAGUCCCGCAACGAGCGCAACCCUUAUCCUAUGUUGCCAGCGGAUAAUGCCGGGGACUCAUGGGAGACUGCCGGGGUCAACUCGGAGGAAGGUGGGGAUGAGGUCAAGUCAUCAUGCCCCUUAUGUCUUGGGCUGCAAACAUGCUACAAUGGCCGGUACAGAGGGCUGCGAGACCGUAAGGUGGAGCGAAUCUCAAAAAGCCGGUCUCAGUUCGGAUUGGGGUCUGCAACUCGACCCCAUGAAGUCGGAGUCGCUAGUAAUCGCGAAUCAGCAACGUCGCGGUGAAUACGUUCCCGGGCCUU